Molecule: long non-coding RNA, 948 nt
Organism: Cydia splendana
Lineage: Eukaryota; Metazoa; Arthropoda; Insecta; Lepidoptera; Tortricidae
Exons: 3
Source: RefSeq, a predicted model, not a curated record
CGACUAGACUAAGAAGCAGUUAAAAAAUAAUUAAAAGAUAAGAAAUAAUUAAUGUGACCAAUCAAUUUUUAUGGCAUAUCUGCACUUCAUUAGCAUUGCCAAGAGGUGGUAACAUGUUACGAGUCAAAAAUGUAUUAUCUUUUAUCAACGUGAUAGUUCUGGUAAUAGCAUUAUCCGCCGUUACCGUCGGAUUUGCAAGAAACCAUCACGGGCGUCGAAAUAAUAAAGUUGAUACUAAUGUCACAGUAGAUUACUUAAAACAACGGCAAUUCUACUUCCGCCCAUGGACUGAGUCUUUGCAGGGCACAAAUAAGGUUGAAGCGCUACCUCUUCCUUCUGACCACUGGGCAAAGAAGAUUAAACACCUCCUCAAGCUACAAGCCAUGAGACAUCCCGGGAAAUAAUCUUCAUGUUCGCUACUAGCAGCUUUCAACAAAAAAAAAACCGGAGUUUCACACACAUAAAAACACUAAACCAAAUUGAUUACGAUACAUAGCGACCCUGCCAGAAUUUUCCCUGUUAUCGUGCUGCAAUCUUCAGACACAAAGUCGAAAGACACUAUGUCUAUUUGAGACCAGUCAACUAUCAAAGGUCUAUCUAAUAUAAAUUUGGAGUUUUCUUUCUUGUGUCUUUGUUGUGUCAAAACCAAAGACACAGGAAAGAAAAUGGCGCUCUUUAUGCUUAGCCCAGUGGUCAGCAGGCAGAGGAAGCGCCAUUCUUUCGCCCAGUGGCGAAGAACAUUAACACACCUGAACACCUACCUGCUCAUUCUCAAGCUACAAGCCAUGAAGCAUCCGAGGAAAUAAAGCUUCAAAGUGGGUUAGUUAACCGUUAACCCAUGGUUGUACCCACUGGUAACUCCGGAUUUUACCGGUUAACCCCAAGUUAAUGGCUAACCCUGGAUGGCGCAAGUGGCCCUAACCUAAACAAAUAAACUUUUAAAAACAC